RNAcentral lists this ribosomal RNA (433 nucleotides) under uncultured bacterium. RNAcentral's name for it is "partial 16S ribosomal RNA". It matches the Rfam family "Bacterial small subunit ribosomal RNA", at positions 29 to 507 of the family's 1533-position model. The record is from RNAcentral.
AACGAACGCUGGCGGCAGGCCUAACACAUGCAAGUCGAGCGAGGACUUCGGUCCUAGCGGCGGACGGGUGAGUAACGCGUGGGAACGUGCCCUUUGCUUCGGAAUAGCCCUGGGAAACUGGGAGUAAUACCGGAUGAGCCCUUUGGGGGAAAGAUUUAUCGGCGAAGGAUCGGCCCGCGUUGGAUUAGGUAGUUGGUGGGGUAAUGGCCUACCAAGCCGACGAUCCAUAGCUGGUUUGAGAGGAUGAUCAGCCACACUGGGACUAAGACACGGCCCAGACUCCUACGGGAGGCAGCAGUGGGGAAUCUUAGACAAUGGGGGAAACCCUGAUCUAGCCAUGCCGCGUGAGCGAUGAAGGCCUUAGGGUUGUAAAGCUCUUUCAGCUGGGAAGAUAAUGACGGUACCAGCAGAAGAAGCCCCGGCUAACUCCGUG